GACGAACGCUGGCGGCGUGCUUAACACAUGCAAGUCGAACGGAAAGGCCCUGCUUUUGUGGGGUGCUCGAGUGGCGAACGGGUGAGUAACACGUGUGUACCCUGUCCUUGACUUUGGGAUAACUUCAUGAAACUGGGGCUAAUACCGGAUAGGAGCUCCUGCUGCAUGGUGGGGGUUGGAAAGUUUCGGCGGUUGGGGAUGGACUCGCGGCGUAUCAGCUUGUUGGUGGGGUAGUGGCUUACCAAGGCUUUGACGGGUAGCCGGCCUGAGAGGGUGACCGGCCACAUUGGGACUGGGAUACGGCCCAGACUCCAACGGGAGGCAGGAGUGGAGAAUAGUGCACAAUGGGAGGAAGCCUAAUGCAGCAACGCCGCGUGCGGGAUGACGGCCAUCGGUUUGUAAACCGCUGUCGCCUGUGACGAAGCGUGAGUGACGGUAAUGGGUAAAGAAGCACCGGCUAACUACGUG
This 468-nucleotide ribosomal RNA is filed under the name uncultured bacterium. Its description in RNAcentral is "partial 16S ribosomal RNA". It matches the Rfam family "Bacterial small subunit ribosomal RNA", at positions 28 to 507 of the family's 1533-position model. The record is from RNAcentral.